GAGUUUGAUUAUGGCUCANNCCUUUNAGNGUGGCGGUAUGCUUAACACAUGCAAGUCGAACGCCANAGCCCUUUCGGGGGUAAGUAGAGUGGCGGACGGGUGAGUAAGGCAUGGGAAUCUGCCCUGUAGCGGGGGAUAACUUGGGGAAACUCAAGCUAAUACCGCAUACACCUACGGGUAAAAGGUGGCCUCUUCUUGAAAGCUAUCACUAUAGGAUGAGCCCAUGUAAGAUUAGCUAGUUGGUGGGGUAAAGGCCUACCAAGGCGACGAUCUUUAGCUGGUCUGAGAGGACGAUCAGCCACACUGGGACUGAGACACGGCCCAGACUCCUACGGGAGGCAGCAGUGGGGAAUAUUGGACAAUGGGGGCAACCCUGAUCCAGCAAUACCGCGUGUGUGAAGAAGGCCUGCGGGUUGUAAAGCACUUUUAUCUGUGAGGAAGGGUUUAAUGCUAAUAUCAUUAGACAUUGACGUUAACAGAAGAAAAAGCACCGGCUAACUCUGUGCCAGCAGCCGCGGUAAUACAGAGGGUGCAAGCGUUAAUCGGAAUUACUGGGCGUAAAGGGCGCGUAGGCGGCCUUGUAAGUCGGAUGUGAAAGCCCUGAGCUUAACUUGGGAACUGCAUUCGAUACUGCAUGGCUAGAGUACAGAAGAGGAAAGUGGAAUUCCCAGUGUAGCGGUGAAAUGCGUAGAUAUUGGGAAGAACAUCAGUGGCGAAGGCGACUUUCUGGACUGAUACUGACGCUGAGGUACGAAAGCGUGGGGAGCAAACAGGAUUAGAUACCCUGGUAGUCCACGCCCUAAACGAUGUCAACUAGCUGUUGGGGGAUUAUAUUCCUUUAGUAGCGAAGCUAACGCGCUAAGUUGACCGCCUGGGGAGUACGGCCGCAAGGUUAAAACUCAAAUGAAUUGACGGGGGCCCGCACAAGCGGGGGAGCAUAUGGUUUAAUUCGAUGCAACGCGAANAACCUUACCUACUCUUGACAUCCUAGGAAGCUUUCANANAAGAA
RNAcentral lists this ribosomal RNA (1009 nucleotides) under uncultured bacterium. RNAcentral's name for it is "bacterial SSU rRNA". It matches the Rfam family "Bacterial small subunit ribosomal RNA", at positions 9 to 1010 of the family's 1533-position model. The record is from RNAcentral.